RNAcentral lists this long non-coding RNA (247 nucleotides) under Lathyrus oleraceus (garden pea). RNAcentral's name for it is "Pisum sativum (pea) long non-coding RNA (PSAT_LNC012310)". The record is from RNAcentral. Lineage: Eukaryota; Viridiplantae; Streptophyta; Magnoliopsida; Fabales; Fabaceae.
CAUUUUGUUUCUGUUUUCUAUUGUUUGACCUUAAUCUUCUCUAUCUUUGGUCAUAGCUUCUUGAUUAUCUCAUUGCAUUUCAUUUAAUGCACUUUAAUUCUUCAUUUCUAUUCUUUAUCUUCUAUCUUCUUCUUUUUUUUUUUUUUGAUCAAUGAGUUAAAGGUUGAUGGUUAGCAUUGAUUAGGGAGGUUUAAUCUUCCUUGAUUCAAAUCUAAUUCAUCUUGAUCAAUGAUCAAGUGAAUGGCUU